This 497-nucleotide ribosomal RNA is filed under the name uncultured bacterium. Its description in RNAcentral is "partial 16S ribosomal RNA". It matches the Rfam family "Bacterial small subunit ribosomal RNA", at positions 28 to 507 of the family's 1533-position model. The record is from RNAcentral.
GAUGAACGCUGGCGGCGUGCCUAAUACAUGCAAGUCGAGCGAACAGAUGAGGAGCUUGCUCCUCUGACGUUAGCGGCGGACGGGUGAGUAACACGUGGAUAACCUACCUAUAAGACUGGGAUAACUUCGGGAAACCGGAGCUAAUACCGGAUAAUAUAUUGAACCGCAUGGUUCAAUAGUGAAAGACGGUUUUGCUGUCACUUAUAGAUGGAUCCGCGCCGCAUUAGCUAGUUGGUAAGGUAACGGCUUACCAAGGCAACGAUGCGUAGCCGACCUGAGAGGGGGAUCGGACACACUGGAACUGAGACACGGUACAGACUCCUACGGGAGGCAGCAGUAGGGAAUCUUCCGCAAUGGGCGAAAGCCUGACGGAGCAACGCCGCGUGAGUGAUGAAGGUCUUCGGAUCGUAAAACUCUGUUAUUAGGGAAGAACAAAUGUGUAAGUAACUAUGCACGUCUUGACGGUACCUAAUCAGAAAGCCACGGCUAACUACGUG